AUGUAGAGUUUACAUGGAGACUUGACAGUUGCAUUGGCAACACAGUCUUAAAAGACUACUCAGUCAAGCUCAAGAGAAAAAUAAUUCACUAGCACACUGCUUGCUAGAGUCAGAUAUUUUUAUCUACUGAAACAGGACAAACUGAUAUUUUAAAGCUUUCCAUUUCCUUUUGCAUGUGUUCAUUUUGCUUUUGCUGAGAAAUGUUAUAAAUUAGCCAUGGAAACACUCCUCCUCCUAGUCUAUGGAUUUAUUAGGAUCAACAUGUUGCCAUCAUCCAAGAGAUCAAGGGGGGUCUCUAUACAAAUGUCCAUUCAUUCCUCUACUUACUGAGAAUCUUCCUUCAGAAAAUUAUAUUGGCAGUUUGAGGUCCACCUAGCUCUUGGGAAACAGUAGAAGAGAGUUGCUGAAAUGAAGUACAGCAAUUCAGUGUCUUGUAAGCCUCUGCAAAUUUUUCAAGCCUCCCUACUCUGUCCCAAAGGC
This is a long non-coding RNA of Gopherus evgoodei (Goodes thornscrub tortoise), 480 nucleotides long. RefSeq lists it as uncharacterized. The record is from RefSeq and is a predicted model, not a curated record. Lineage: Eukaryota; Metazoa; Chordata; Testudines; Testudinidae. The transcript has 3 exons.